RNAcentral lists this small nucleolar RNA (122 nucleotides) under Echinops telfairi (small Madagascar hedgehog). RNAcentral's name for it is "Small nucleolar RNA SNORA61 (ENSETEG00000026476.1)". Lineage: Eukaryota; Metazoa; Chordata; Mammalia; Afrosoricida; Tenrecidae. The record is from RNAcentral.
CCCUUCCAGAUUCCUCCCCUCUCAUAUCUGAACAUUGGUCUGAGUGGUAAAAAGAGGAGGAAAAGUUAAAACUGAAGUGGACUUGGAGUCUUUAAUGACUUACAAGAUCAUUUCAAACAUUA